GUGUCAGCCGCCGCGGUAAUACGUAGGGUGCGAGCGUUAAUCGGAAUUACUGGGCGUAAAGCGUGCGCAGGCGGUUAUACAAGACAGGCGUGAAAUCCCCGGGCUUAACCUGGGAAUGGCGCCUGUGACUGUAUAGCUAGAGUGUGUCAGAGGGGGGUAGAAUUCCACGUGUAGCAGUGAAAUGCGUAGAUAUGUGGAGGAAUACCAAUGGCGAAGGCAGCCCCCUGGGAUAACACUGACGCUCAUGCACGAAAGCGUGGGGAGCAAACAGGAUUAGAAACCCUAGUAGUCC
RNAcentral lists this ribosomal RNA (292 nucleotides) under uncultured Polynucleobacter sp. RNAcentral's name for it is "partial 16S ribosomal RNA". It matches the Rfam family "Bacterial small subunit ribosomal RNA", at positions 505 to 796 of the family's 1533-position model. The record is from RNAcentral. Lineage: Bacteria; Pseudomonadati; Pseudomonadota; Betaproteobacteria; Burkholderiales; Burkholderiaceae.